This 253-nucleotide ribosomal RNA is filed under the name uncultured bacterium. RNAcentral's name for it is "partial 16S ribosomal RNA". It matches the Rfam family "Bacterial small subunit ribosomal RNA", at positions 524 to 776 of the family's 1533-position model. The record is from RNAcentral.
UACGAAGGGGGCUAGCGUUGCUCGGAAUCACUGGGCGUAAAGCGCACGUAGGCGGACUCUUAAGUCGGAGGUGAAAUCCUGGAGCUCAACUCCAGAACUGCCUUCGAUACUGGGAGUCUUGAGUCCGAGAGAGGUGAGUGGAACUGCGAGUGUAGAGGUGAAAUUCGUAGAUAUUCGCAAGAACACCAGUGGCGAAGGCGGCUCCCUGGCUCGGGACUGACGCUGAGGUGCGAAAGCGUGGGGAGCAAACAGG